RNAcentral lists this ribosomal RNA (151 nucleotides) under Aeromonas caviae. RNAcentral describes it as "partial 16S ribosomal RNA". It matches the Rfam family "Bacterial small subunit ribosomal RNA", at positions 383 to 526 of the family's 1533-position model. Lineage: Bacteria; Pseudomonadati; Pseudomonadota; Gammaproteobacteria; Aeromonadales; Aeromonadaceae. The record is from RNAcentral.
CUGAUGCAGCCAUGCCGCGUGUGUGAAGAAGGCCUUCGGGUUGUAAAGCACUUUCAGCGAGGAGGAAAGGUCAGUAGCUAAUAUCUACUGGCUGUGACGUUACUCGCAGAAGAAGCACCGGCUAACUCCGUGCCAGCAGCCGCGGUAAUAC